Molecule: ribosomal RNA, 328 nt
Filed under: uncultured eukaryote
Lineage: Eukaryota
Description: partial 18S ribosomal RNA
Rfam family: Eukaryotic small subunit ribosomal RNA
Source: RNAcentral
CCCUUAGAUGUUCUGGGCUGCACGCGUGCUACAAUGGCGUUUCCAGCAAGUCUGCGAACCCGAGAGGGCCAGCGGAUCUUCGAAUUGGCGUCGUGAUCGGGACAGUCGAUUGCAAUUAUUUGACUCAAACGAGGAAUUCCUUGUAAUCGCGAUUCAUCAUAUCGCGCUGAAUACGUCCCUGCCCUUUGUACACACCGCCCGUCGCUACUACCGAUUGAAUGGUUUAGUGAGAUCUUCGGAUUGGCGCCACUGCGGCUCAGCAAUGGGCUCGGUGGAUGCCGAAAAGUUGAUCAAACUUGAUCAUUUAGAGGAAGUAAAAGUCGUAACA